GACGGAGGGUGCGAGCGUUGUUCGGAAUCACUGGGCGUAAAGCGCGUGUAGGCGGUCUGAUCAGUCGAAUGUGAAAGCCCGAGGCUCAACCUCGGAAGUGCAUUCGAAACUGUCAGGCUUGAGUACGGGAGAGGGUAGUGGAAUUCCUGGUGUAGAGGUGAAAUUCGUAGAUAUCAGGAGGAACACCGGUGGCGAAGGCGGCUACCUGGACCGAUACUGACGCUGAGACGCGAAAGCGUGGGGAG
RNAcentral lists this ribosomal RNA (245 nucleotides) under uncultured bacterium. RNAcentral's name for it is "partial 16S ribosomal RNA". It matches the Rfam family "Bacterial small subunit ribosomal RNA", at positions 524 to 768 of the family's 1533-position model. The record is from RNAcentral.